Molecule: ribosomal RNA, 295 nt
Filed under: uncultured Syntrophus sp.
Lineage: Bacteria; Pseudomonadati; Thermodesulfobacteriota; Syntrophia; Syntrophales; Syntrophaceae
Description: partial 16S ribosomal RNA
Rfam family: Bacterial small subunit ribosomal RNA
Source: RNAcentral
GUCCGCAACGAGCGACACCCUUGUCUUUAAUUGCCAGCAUUCAGUUGGGCACUUUAGAGAGACUGCCGGUGUUAAGCCGGAGGAGGUGGGGAUGACGUCAAGUCCUCAUGGCCUUUAUGUCCAGGGCUACACACGUGCUACAAUGGAUGGUACAAAGAGCAGCGACCUCGCGAGAGUGAGCAAAUCUCAAAAACCCAUCCUCAGUUCGGAUUGGAGUCUGCAACUCGACUCCAUGAAGUUGGAAUCGCUAGUAAUCGCGGAUCAGCAUGCCGCGGUGAAUACGUUCCCGGGCCUU